This is a long non-coding RNA of Solanum tuberosum (potato), 287 nucleotides long. RefSeq lists it as uncharacterized. Lineage: Eukaryota; Viridiplantae; Streptophyta; Magnoliopsida; Solanales; Solanaceae. The record is from RefSeq and is a predicted model, not a curated record. The transcript has 2 exons.
UAAGACAUUGGGGAAUGGAAGUGCAAGAGUCUUGGUACAAUAUAAGGGAAUGCAAGUCCAAGAGUUGUCUGUAGCAGGGACAACAAGGUUCUUAAGAAAUGAGAUCGGUCAAGAAGGAGCUUGAGGCAUGCCAUGAAAGUUUUUUGAUUGUAUAUAUAUUAGUACAAUGCCACUGAAGUAUUAUGUCGUAAAUAUGUCAUUGACAUUUUAGUAGUGGAAGUAUUUAUAAUAUUUGGUCGGAGAAUGAUUUUAUAGUUUAAAUACUAUUUGAUGUUUUUAAAGUUAUA